RNAcentral lists this ribosomal RNA (253 nucleotides) under uncultured bacterium. RNAcentral's name for it is "partial 16S ribosomal RNA". It matches the Rfam family "Bacterial small subunit ribosomal RNA", at positions 524 to 776 of the family's 1533-position model. The record is from RNAcentral.
GACAGAGGUGCCAAGCGUUAGGCGGAAUCACUGGGCUUAAGGCGUGUGUAGGCGGAUCGUUAAGUACCUUGUGAAAUCCCACGGCUCAACCGUGGAACUGCUGGGUAUACUGGCGGUCUUGAGCCACCUAGGGGCAACUGGAACAAGCGGUGGAGCGGUGAAAUGCGUAGAUAUCGCUUGGAACGCCAACGGUGAAAACAGGUUGCUGGGGGUGUGCUGACGCUGAGACACGAAAGCCAGGGGAGCGAACGGG